ACCCCUCUCCUGAUCGAUGUCUUUCAACAAGUCAGAUAUCAUACACGCUAUGUAAGCUCUUUGUGGACUAGGACUUCAGUAGUCACAUAAACCAAGAAGAUGUCAAGAAAAUUCAAGAGAAACAGCUGAUCUUUACUUGGGGUUAAUCGGAAUAAUUUCAUUGAUGACAGCUGUAUGAUAAUUACAACCCCAAUUCCAAAAAGUUGGGACAGUAUGGAAAAUGCUAAUACAAACAAAGAGGAGUGAUUUGUAAAUGUAAUUUGACUUGUAUUUAAACAAAAAAAAAAACAUAUAAAAAGAAGGUAUUCGAUGUUUUACCUAAUCAAAUGCAUAGUUUUUUAAGAUAAAGGUUUAUUUUGAAAUUGACGCAUGCAACACAUUCCAAUAAAGUUGGGACAGGGGCACUAGGACUAAUAGUGAUGUGACAAGUAGAAUAAGAAGGUGAUGUGAAACAGGUGAGGUAAUCAUCUAAACAUACUAUAUAAGGAGCCUCCAAAAAAGGUCUAGUCCAUCAAGAGCAAGGAUGGGUCGAUGCUCGCCGAUCUGCCAACAGAUGCAUCAGCGAAUAAUCCGACACUUUGAGAACAACAUUCCCCAAAGACACAUCGGUAGGAUUUGGGGCAUUAAAUUCACAAAGUAAAACAUCAAAUAAUGUGUUUAUAAAGUGUUUUCAAUAUAGUACAGGCCGAACUGAAUUUUCAAAUGACUCCUUGUUUUUUGUGUGUUUUUAUUUUUUGCAUUUUCCACACUGUCCCAACUUUUUCGGAAUUGGGGUUGUACUUUUGAACAUGAGAUUGAAUGUGAUUAGUUAAUUCUGAACACAGCCACACCCCCAUUUAUAAAAAUGGGAAAUCCUGCACUGAUUUGGCUUCAGCUCUCGGUACAAAUCCAUCACACAUCAGAGAGCUGGAUCUGAGUGAGUGUGAACUAGGAGACUCAGGAGUGGAGAAGCUCUGUGAUCUACUGAAGAAACACGAGUGUAAACUGGAGACACUGCGGUUAAAGAAGUGCAGUAUAAAAGAUAGAGGCUGUGCUUCUCUGACUGCAGCUCUGAGGUCCAACUCCUCACAUCUGAAAGAGCUGGAUCUGAGAGAGAAUCAACUAAAAGAUUCAGUCACAAAGCAGCUCUCUGAGAUACUGAACGGUUCAGGAGGAAAGCUGAUAUAUGACAAGCCCACAGUGACAACAAAACGGUGGAAUUUAUUUUCUGUUAGCCGAUUUCGGAUCCUGACUCCUCUACAGUGAAGAAUAAACAAAGAGAUGGAAAAGUGCAGGACACACAACAGGGAGAAAGCAGCAUAGACAGUUUAGCAAGCAAUGUGGACUAGGGUAGUUAUGUGUAGUUGUUCUCUCUCUCUUUCAACUUUUCUUGUCUCCUCGACAACCCAUAUCACAGGAAUGUGUCGUUCUCUCCUAGUUUCUCUUAUCUUGCACGUGCUAUGGGAUGUACUAAUGAUCCACCAUUUUACCUUCAAUAGUGAGCACACUGUUGCUGAGGCACAUGAUUGUCUGAUAUAUAUAUACUCUUAUCUUUUUUUGAAUAAACUGAGACUCUGCAAUUUGA
Ictalurus punctatus (channel catfish) is the source of this 1564-nucleotide long non-coding RNA. RefSeq lists it as uncharacterized. The record is from RefSeq and is a predicted model, not a curated record. Lineage: Eukaryota; Metazoa; Chordata; Actinopteri; Siluriformes; Ictaluridae. The transcript has 3 exons.